ACUCCUACGGGAGGCAGCAGUGGGGAAUAUUGCACAAUGGGGGAAACCCUGAUGCAGCCAUGCCGCGUGUGUGAAGAAGGCCUUCGGGUUGUAAAGCACUUUCAGUAGGGAGGAAGGUAGUGUAGUUAACACCUGCAUAUUGAUCGUAUCCUACAGAAGAAGCACCGGCUAACUCCGUGCCAGCAGCCGCGGUAAUACGGAGGGUGCGAGCGUUAAUCGGAAUUACUGGGCGU
This 233-nucleotide ribosomal RNA is filed under the name uncultured bacterium. RNAcentral describes it as "partial 16S ribosomal RNA". It matches the Rfam family "Bacterial small subunit ribosomal RNA", at positions 335 to 561 of the family's 1533-position model. The record is from RNAcentral.